This 292-nucleotide ribosomal RNA is filed under the name uncultured bacterium. Its description in RNAcentral is "partial 16S ribosomal RNA". It matches the Rfam family "Bacterial small subunit ribosomal RNA", at positions 505 to 796 of the family's 1533-position model. The record is from RNAcentral.
GUGCCAGCAGCCGCGGUAAUACGAACUGUGCAAACGUUAUUCGGAAUCACUGGGCUUAAAGGGUGCGUAGGCGGCUGUCUAAGCAGGGUGUGAAAGCCCCCGGCUCAACCGGGGAAUUGCGUUCUGAACUGGACGGCUGGAGUGGGAUAGAGGUGUGCGGAACUUCCGGUGGAGCGGUGAAAUGUGUUGAUAUCGGAAGGAACGCCGGUGGCGAAAGCGGCACACUGGGUCUCAACUGACGCUGAGGCACGAAAGCCAGGGGAGCGAACGGGAUUAGAUACCCUAGUAGUCC